Long non-coding RNA from Biomphalaria glabrata, 3176 nucleotides. RefSeq lists it as uncharacterized. The record is from RefSeq and is a predicted model, not a curated record. The transcript has 9 exons. NCBI's taxonomy places the organism in Eukaryota, Metazoa, Mollusca, Gastropoda, Planorbidae.
UGAAUUGUCAUCCAAGCAACAAAUAUUCUUUGGUAAUCUUCUAUCAGAUGAUGACAGUUUUCUCUUUGGCAUUUUUAUGAGUUAAAGCUUUCAAGGCCAAAGGUAUCAGCUAUAAGCAGUGAACCCAAGAGCUUCAUUGCCAAAAAGUGACCCGCUUUACUGUUCUUCAAUGUCAAGAGUCUGGAAAUGUCAGCCCAAGGAGAUCAAGUUUGUGUCCAAGGUUACUUUGGUAAUUCUCUAAGAACAAUAGCGGCUCAAUCAUUGAGCACUGAUUUUCCACUGGUGCCUUGAUACUCCACUGAUGGCUUGAUACUCCACUGAUGGCUUGAUACUCCACUGAUGGCUUGAUACUCCACUGAUGCCUUGGUUCUCCACUGACGACUUGAUUCUCCACUGACGACUUGAUUGCCAUAAGUUUAUCUACUGAUCUACAAAUCAAGGAUAGCAUUUCAAAACCUAAAAGUUGGAGCUGUUGGGUUGAAAACAAAUAAAUGAACUCACAUUAGGCUGCAUUACUUCCUAGAAAAUUAAAAUGAAAUGGUCAAUUAAACAUUGAUGUCAAGGAAAAAGGAGGAACAUUUCAAGGCUACAGGAGGAACAUUAAACGUCUCUCUCUCUGUAAAAAGAUUCUAUCGAUCUACAACUGGUCAACAUGUUUUAUCUGAAGUUCAUCUGCCGUUUCUUCAAAUGGAGCCUUAGUCAGAAUAAGUUUGUCUACCAGCAGUUUGGUGCUACAAGUCAACGACAGUCAACAACAUGACUAAAUUAAAUAAAGCCAUGUCAAUUUCUACAUCAUUUUGUUGCUACUAACCUGUUGUUACUAACAACUAACUUGAAAUGGGAGAGAUUUUCAUCAUUUUUUCCUGAAGUCAUUUCAGUUCUCAAUUAUUUUGUGCAACAAGUUACAAGAACAAAUUCAAGUGAGAGAGGUCACUACACUAAGACUUUGUCUUCUCAUAAGAAUGGAUGGCUGCCUGGUCAUGUGGUAUGUGCGCUGGACUGUGUGUGGUCAUCUUGAUGCUCAUAUCUUGCCUGAUGCCAUUUACUCUGCUGGACGUUUGGUCAAGGAAGUAGCUUCUCUUCAACUCUCAAGGAACAUUCAAAACAUGUCAAACAUUGGACAAGAAUAUCAAGCAAGUGCAGUGUACAUACCAACAUGAUGAAAAGGUAGACAUGAAGAUCUAGACCAGCAUGAAGAUGUAGACAGACAUGAUGAAGAUGAAGACCUGCAUGAUGUAGAUUUAGACAAGCACAAUGAAGAUGUAGACCAGCAUGAUGAAGAUGUAGACCAGCAUGAUGAAGAUGUAGACCAGCAUGAUGAAAAUAUAGACCAGCAUGAUGAAGAUGUAGACCAGCAUGAUGAAGAUGUAGACCAACAUGAUGAAGAUGAAGACCUACAUGAUGAUGAAAUGUAAACCAAAAUAUUGAUCAAAAGAGAUGUAGAGAAUAAAACGUGAACAUCUUGAGAGGGAAAACAAUUCCUAGAGGCGAAGGCACAGACACAGUAGAUACAUUAGAGAGUGUUUCCUUUUCUACCAUCAUUUAGAGCCUUCUUUGUGCUCUAAGGGAACCUGCCAUUAUCUUUUGAUUGCUAAUUGGCGUUGAUGUUUAUACAUUCCUACUGCAUGUGAAAGAAAUUAACAUUUCCCUAAUGCUACUUUGAAACUAGAACUUCUCAAGAUAAUCUUAGUGACCAAGCUGCAAUACAGGACCCAGUAGGAAACAAUGAAGAAUCCUCCCAGCCUCAUGUCGAGUACCCCUGCUCACCUACUAGAGUGGCGACACAUAUUUCUCCUACACCCACAGUUAGACAUCCUGAACCCUGUAACCCAACCUCACAACAUGGUUACAUUACGAGAAGUGGUUGCGAAGUCAGAAAGCCUAACAGAUACAAUGAAUAGAACAAUCAUUUCUAAUACAGGUACAAGUACUCAAGUGAUGUACUUUGUAAGAACUAAUUUGGUGGAAUCACCAUAAUUGACUUGUAUCUUGUUCUAUAUUUAGGUAUAUCUUGACAAUCAGUCCAGUCAUUUGUUCAUUUAUUUUUUUAAUAUUCCUUUUUUUCCCCCUCAAUCUUCUUGUUGUUUCAGUGAAAUGUUUUUAUCUUUUUUGUUUUUGGAGGAAGGAGUGGCUGUGGUAUAAAAUUAUUAUUAUUAUUGGAGUCACAACACCAAAGCCUUGCUACAUUAUGCUUUUAAUUCAAUUUAUUAUCUCCCCUGCUUUGGUGUGCUAUCAUAUUAAUGUUCAUUAGUGUCACAUCCAUGAACAAUUUGUUCUAUGCUUUUUAUAGUGUAAAUAGUGACUUGACAUUAUUUAGAUCAAUUAUAGUAUGUUAUAUUAUGUCAUUGUAGUUAAAAUAAAACUGUUAACAUUUUCUGCACUGUUAUUAAUAUGAAUGUUUUCCUGUGUUGCUAUGAAUGUGUUUUUUGAGUUUUAGUCCGAAAUCAUAGAUGAGAAAUUGUUCCAUAAAUAAAGAGUAGAUUAAUAUUUACUAUUUGGUAUUGUCAGACUUCACUAAAGCAUUGAGUUCAUCUCCUUAGUCUAUUUAAAACUUUCAAAUACUAAUUCACUUUGUCUUAUCUAAUAGUGAUCAUGGGGUAUUCACUUUGGGCUGUCAUCUCCAUAGUGUCUAGUAUGAACACUCACUGUCCUGGUGGAGGUUAGGGCUAGGAUGUAAUCUCUAUUUCUGAUGGAACACAUGUAAAACCAACAAAACAAACAGUAGACCUAGACUUUAUUAACAGGUCCUACAAACAUUUUUUUAUAAUUGAACUGGCUCUCCCAGAGCUAUUUUUAUGUAUGCUUAUUUUUACUAUUUUUGUAGACUAAUGCUAAGCUGUAUACUAAUACUUAGCAUAUUAUUAUAUGGGUUAGGGCGAAGCUGUUUCCUGUACUGUUGACCAGUGGUCUGUGUGUCAGUUUUAAUUAUUCUCUACUUAGAGCUGCCUGUAUGUUUCAGAAUUUAAAAAAAUAAUUUUUCUACAUGUAAACCUACCUUCAAUUUUAGUUAUAUAUUGUUUUUCUAAUUGUCAAAAUAAUUGGCGGUUAGUUUUUUAAAGUUUGUUUUAAAAUGAUGGCCACUUCUAAUGUUUAUGUACUAGAUCUUGUCCUUAUGUUUUUGUAUUUUUAUCUGCAGUGUUUUUUAACUGCUGCUUUAGUCAUUGAAAUUAAAGUCU